GCCAGCAUGGUGCAAUGGUUUGAGUGCUUGACUAGGACGCUGGAGACCAGGGUUCGAUUCUCAGCUUCGGCC
This is a non-coding RNA of Phrynosoma platyrhinos (Desert horned lizard), 72 nucleotides long. Lineage: Eukaryota; Metazoa; Chordata; Lepidosauria; Squamata; Phrynosomatidae. The record is from the annotation of a GenBank genome assembly.